UAUUCCACUGUGCACAGUUUGAAUUUGGAGCC
Molecule: non-coding RNA, 32 nt
Filed under: Homo sapiens (human)
Lineage: Eukaryota; Metazoa; Chordata; Mammalia; Primates; Hominidae
Source: RNAcentral